UCACAUUUUAUCUUACCCAUGUGUGCGUGA
This 30-nucleotide non-coding RNA is filed under the name Rattus norvegicus (Norway rat). The record is from RNAcentral. Lineage: Eukaryota; Metazoa; Chordata; Mammalia; Rodentia; Muridae.